UGGGGAAUAUUGGACAAUGGGGGCAAUCCUGAUCCAGCCAUGCCGCGUGAGUGAUGAAGGCCUUAGGGUUGUAAAAGCUCUUUUCACCCGGGACGAUAAUGACGGUACCGGGAGAAGAAGCCCCGGCUAACUUCGUGCCAGCAGCCGCGGUAAUACGAAAGAGGGCUAGCGUUGUUCGGAAUCACUGGGCGUAAAGCGCACGUAGGCGGACCGUUAAGUCGGAGGUGGAAUCUGGGGCUCAACCCCAGAACUGCCUUCGAUACUGGCGGUCUCGAGUCCGGAAAGAGGUGAGUGGAACUGCCAGUGUAGAGGUGAAANUUCGUAGAUAUUGGCAAGAACACCAGUGGCGAAGGCGGCUCACUGGUCCGGUACUGACGCUGAGGUGCGAAAGCGUGGGGAGCAUNNGAUUAGAUACCCUGGUAGUCCACGCGUAAACGAUAAAUGCCAGCCGUCGGGCAGCAUGCU
This 465-nucleotide ribosomal RNA is filed under the name uncultured bacterium. RNAcentral describes it as "partial 16S ribosomal RNA". It matches the Rfam family "Bacterial small subunit ribosomal RNA", at positions 355 to 837 of the family's 1533-position model. The record is from RNAcentral.